This is a long non-coding RNA of Sycon ciliatum, 957 nucleotides long. RefSeq lists it as uncharacterized. The transcript has 3 exons. Lineage: Eukaryota; Metazoa; Porifera; Calcarea; Leucosolenida; Sycettidae. The record is from RefSeq and is a predicted model, not a curated record.
UAUCUCGACGAUGUUGUCGUGCUCAUUACCUUACUGAGACGUCUCUUGUGACUGUAGCCAGUGUCACGGAGGAUUUUAUUGGCGUGACAAGGUAGAUCGCCGAGAUCGAGCGUGAAAAACGCUCUGCAUUAGUAGCUCCUGUAGAAUGUUUUCUGGGUUGGCGUAUCCAUGGUCAACAAAACCAAGGUGCAAGACAGCAUGAGAGAUCGUGUAAACGAUGUGAACUCCAAAAGAUAAUCUGGCCAAAUUUAUUGUAAAUAGAGAGUGCAAUCGUGCUUGGGGCCCAUCCCAAUGUCAUCACAUGGCUGUGGUGACUAGUCUAUAUCUGGGAGAAUUUUUCCUCGACUGAUACGGAGUGCAGGUGGAUCGAUUAUGAGAAAUGCGAACAUGUGAAGUUCAAGGCUAGAUGCACUUCACAUUCGGCGGGCGAUCUCAGCGUCUGGGACCUGAUGAAGUCUUGGUUGGAUGAUUAUUCAAGCCUGAUACUACUCGACACACCAAUGUUCAUGUCUAUGUAAUUUUUUCAGAGCUGCACUAUUUACGUGUUGAUGCUUACUUCGGUGUUAACGUGUUUCCCCCGGAUCGUUUCUAUCAUCAUGAUCGUGUGUUCUUGGGCUGAGCGAGCACAUGCACAAGUGUGCAGCUAUAACCCUGUGUAUCUUUGGUUACACUUUGUUCUGCAAUGCAUGUACCUUGUAACAUUAUGUGCUUGCACUGCUUUUUCUGGCCUGCGUACUUCAGGACUAUUCAGUGCAUUAGACCCAGGUUUGUUUGGUUGCCGGAUGAUCUCUUGUUGCGUCGCUCUGUAUUUGUAUUCAUCAAUUUUUGGGCUUGAGAAUUGAGCUAUUGUGUGGUUCCCAAUAUGAAAACAUCAUGCUGGUGCUCUGUGUUUCGAUUAUCGACUGUCGGAGCAGUCAUGCAUUUAUUAGCAGAACGGUCAAUACUGUAGUCUUUUCA